GUGCUCACUUUGCCAGAACAUAGACUAAAAUUGGAACAAUACAGAGAUUAGCAUGGCCCCUGUGCAAGGAUAACAUGCAAUUUUGUGAAGGAUUCCUUAUUAAA
Molecule: small nuclear RNA, 104 nt
Organism: Aotus nancymaae (Ma's night monkey)
Lineage: Eukaryota; Metazoa; Chordata; Mammalia; Primates; Aotidae
Source: Ensembl